AAAUAGAGAGCUGCAGUGGCAGACCUGUAGCAAAAGAACUGUCGUCCUGUCGUUGAUCAGACAUAAUGUCUAACCUCGUUCUUCUCCUGUGGUUACUUGAACCAGUUUGCCCUUGUUUUGUGGCAUUUUCAAUCAAAUGCGAGUAAUACUAAAAUGAAAAUAGCUGUACGAGGACCCGGGAUUGUGAUGAAUCAUGCUUGCUGUGUUCAGAGAUUAUCAACAGAAUCAAGGACUCAUCCCUACAGCCAUCCCAGUGUGUGGAGAAGUGGAAUGCAAGGAUCAUCACCACGUUAAGAGCUUGUUGGGAUGAAAAUACAGAGCAGAGACUGAUUUUCUUCUCUGUGAAAAAGUGGUUAAGAGAAGCAAGCCAUGAAGGCAAGCUACCCCUUUAAACUGGUGUGAGAAAUGACUAAGUAAUUAGCCGCGUAUGUAGAUUCUGCAAAGAUAUGUGGUAGAAGGACCCAAGCAUGAUCAGACUAUGGCACCUCAUGAAAAGACCUGGAAUAUGGAACAGACAAGUCGUUCUCUCCCUUGCCGUGAAAUCCAGCCACCAGGAGGAAACUACUGGAAUCUGAAAUGAUACACUACAUGCUCCGUUGCUUGGCACCAGACGAUAAACAACCGUGACCUUGUUGUAUAUGCCCCAGUAGGCACAGUAGAUCUUGGACAACAUGGUGAGCAAACUGGAAAAAUAUGUUGAUCGUUUGGAGGGACUGGUGCAGUUGGUGGCAGAGAAAAGGAAGAUAGAUGAGCUCUUGUCAUCAGUGUUGCCUGGAGUUAUUGACUGACACUCUAUAUAAAUGUGUUGCUAAUCAAAAGUGUUGCUCUAAUACUUGAAAUUAAGAAACAAAAGCCAAUGGAGGAUGUAAAGGAAUAUCAGAAGCAGGGGAAGAAAUAGGAGGGCAAUAUUGGUCAGCAUGAUGGGUAGUGAUCUCCAUGCAUCACUUUCCCUGUUUCCUACUGAAGUUUUGGAAAAUGCUUUCAGUAACUUCUGCCUAUUUACAAAACAAAUCAGGCCAAAUGAAGGAAAUGGAGAGCAAGAAACAGUGCUCACAAUAGAAAUUAUCCCUUUUCCUCCUCCUUUCCAGCUUCACUGGAGAGAGCAGCUUAUUGCUUGGUGGAGCUGCAACUUGUGUUCUCUCAGCAUCCCCCUUCAAGUGGUCAGUCUCCUGAGUGACCUGUACAGCCUCUUCUAGAACAUCCUUAAAACACAUGGUGUUUGGCAUUUUCUGGCAAUUGAGCAAAUAGUCAUGGAAUAGCAAAGCUUUCAUCGUGACUCUUCUGCUGGCCUUGGAGAUGGACCUCUGCUAUUAUAACUCAGUAGGAAGGUUAGUAGCAAAUGCAUUUUUAUAGUCUAUUCAUGGGUGUGAGGAGAAAAAUGGUUUCCCCAUCUGCCAAAGAAAGUUGUGAAGAGGUUGAAGAUCUCUCCUAGGAAAAAAAGACUUAAUAGAAUUUCAAUUUAGUCCAGUAAAAGACCAUUGAUACAGUAACUUCAAAACAUUUUGGUGUCAUCCUUCUUUUCUUUACAUUUUGGAAAAUAGCCACUGCAAGAUUUAAGGUUCAAAUUUAUUUGCACCCUGCACUCCACAUCUAGAGUAUGCAAUAAGUAGCUGCGCUCUUUUUGUCGCUAAAGAUAGAAACCACUGGUGAUGCUUAUGUGGUGGCUAGCAGCCUGCCUGUCUGCAGUGGGAUCAACCCCGCUGAAGAAAUAGAUAUUAUGUCUGUGGAAUUCCUGAGUGCUGCGAUUGCUUUUGAGAUAGGCCAUUUACCCAGAGAGAAGCCGAAAUGGCCUGUUUGGCCUUGACGCAGGUGAGCAGCCUGAGCCUGGCUGGUUGUGAGCUGAGGGUGGAGGUACAUCAGAGGGUAAGGAUUGUCACCCACUGAGGCACGGCAGCACACCUGCCGCAAGUGUGAGGUAAAACUUGUUGGUCCAAACUACUUCCAGGUGAUUAACCUUUGAGUUUUACCUUAUGUUUGCUAUGGGUGCUUGUGAUUUGUUACUCUGGGUCA
Molecule: long non-coding RNA, 2010 nt
Organism: Chroicocephalus ridibundus (black-headed gull)
Lineage: Eukaryota; Metazoa; Chordata; Aves; Charadriiformes; Laridae
Exons: 3
Source: RefSeq, a predicted model, not a curated record